CUACGGGAGGCUCCAGUAAGGAAUAUUGCGCAAUGGAGGCAACUCUGACGCAGCCAUGCCGCGUGCAUGAAGAAGGCCUUAUGGGUCGUAAACUGCUUUUAUUUAGGAAUAAACCCCCGAACGUGUUCGGGGCUGAAGGUACUAAACGAAUAAGCACCGGCUAACUCCGUGCCAGCAGCCGCGGUAAUACGGAGGGUGCAAGCGUUAUCCGGAUUUAUUGGGUUUAAAGGGUGCGCAGGCGGGCUAUUAAGUCAGUGGUGAAAUCCCGGGGCUCAACUCCGGAACUGCCAUUGAUACUGAUAGUCUUGAGUUUGGUUGAAGUGGGCGGAAUGUAGCAUGUAGCGGUGAAAUGCAUAGAUAUGCUACAGAACACCAAUCGCGAAGGCAGCUCACUAAGCCAAAACUGACGCUCAUGCACGAAAGCGUGGGGAUCAAACAGGAUUAGAUACCCUGGUAGUC
Molecule: ribosomal RNA, 459 nt
Filed under: uncultured bacterium
Lineage: Bacteria
Description: partial 16S ribosomal RNA
Rfam family: Bacterial small subunit ribosomal RNA
Source: RNAcentral